Mastomys coucha (southern multimammate mouse) is the source of this 393-nucleotide long non-coding RNA. RefSeq lists it as uncharacterized. The record is from RefSeq and is a predicted model, not a curated record. The transcript has 3 exons. NCBI's taxonomy places the organism in Eukaryota, Metazoa, Chordata, Mammalia, Rodentia, Muridae.
ACUUGCUGUCAAGGAAAAACAAAGAAUGGGAGACGUCUGAGAAACUGGCCAUUGACAUUCUUCUUGUGGGAAAGUGUGAAGAAUGAGAGGAAGAUUUGGCAGUUGUGUCUGGUGACAGAAUUCAUCACGCAGAUGGUUCCUACAGCAGAUCCUGAAAGAGCAGAAUAUUGGAAACAAUAAACUGAAUGUCUUAGACCAUCUUUGUUAAAUAAGAGACACCAUCGUCCUAUCAUCUACUGCAGAGACACCAUCGCCCUAUCAUCUACUGCAGAGACACGAUCACCCUAUCAUCUACUACUACAAAGACACCAUCGCCCGAUCAUCUACUGCAGAGACACCAUCGCCUUAUCAUCUGAACAUAAACUAAGGAAGAGAAGGGCCCUGGGCACAGCA